GGAAGGAGAAGUCGUAACAAGGUUUUCGUAGGUGAACCUGCGAAAGGAUCAUUA
Molecule: ribosomal RNA, 54 nt
Filed under: Caulerpa racemosa
Lineage: Eukaryota; Viridiplantae; Chlorophyta; Ulvophyceae; Bryopsidales; Caulerpaceae
Also listed under: 1 other name
Description: partial 18S ribosomal RNA
Rfam family: Eukaryotic small subunit ribosomal RNA
Source: RNAcentral